RNAcentral lists this ribosomal RNA (484 nucleotides) under uncultured bacterium. RNAcentral's name for it is "partial 16S ribosomal RNA". It matches the Rfam family "Bacterial small subunit ribosomal RNA", at positions 29 to 507 of the family's 1533-position model. The record is from RNAcentral.
AUUGAACGCUGGCGGCAUGCUUUACACAUGCAAGUCGAACGGCAGCGCGGGCUUCGGCCUGGCGGCGAGUGGCGAACGGGUGAGUAAUACAUCGGAACGUGCCCAGUAGUGGGGGAUAGCUCGGCGAAAGCCGGAUUAAUACCGCAUACGACCUGAGGGUGAAAGCGGGGGAUCUUCGGACCUCGCGCUAUUGGAGCGGCCGAUGGCAGAUUAGCUAGUUGGUGGGGUAAAGGCCUACCAAGGCGACGAUCUGUAGCUGGUCUGAGAGGACGACCAGCCACACUGGGACUGAGACACGGCCCAGACUCCUACGGGAGGCAGCAGUGGGGAAUUUUGGACAAUGGGCGGAAGCCUGAUCCAGCAAUGCCGCGUGUGUGAUGAAGUCCUUCGGGUUGUAAAGCACUUUUGGCGGGAACGAAAAGGACUGUGCCAAUACCACGGUUCGAUGACGGUACCCGCAGAAUAAGCACCGGCUAACUACGUG